UCUUCAUAUUAAUAUAAUAAAUUUAGAUAAUUGUUAAAAUCACAUUUGCAAUUGAUAAAGCUACAUUUUACAUGACCUUGUAGGUAACUAGCUAACAGUAUGCCUUUUUUUUUUGUGCCUUUCUUUGCAUUGAAAGAACGUAGUGGUUGAGAGGGAAAUACUAAAGAUUCUAUGAAAAAACACAUUGCUUCAUAUAAUACCAUAACUUUUUAAUUGUGAUUUGUUUUUUUUUAAACUAUUUUUGAUGAAGUAUAAUUAUAUCAUGACAGAAUAACAAUUGCAAUCAUACAGAUUAUUGAAUUAAAUCAUUAAAUUUAUCAGAUACAAUAAAUGUGUUUGAAAAGAUUGCCACUAUUUUGAAACAAAUAAAUCUGAAAAUAUCAAUGAUCAAUACCAAUAUUGCCAAAUGACAGAAAUAAUAAAAAUAACAACAUCCUGCCACUC
Molecule: long non-coding RNA, 444 nt
Filed under: Physcomitrium patens
Lineage: Eukaryota; Viridiplantae; Streptophyta; Bryopsida; Funariales; Funariaceae
Description: long non-coding RNA (PPAT_LNC014072)
Source: RNAcentral